CUUACUUAAAAUGCCUAAAAUUAAACGGUCGAAAGUGUGGCUAUAUUUAAAAAAAAAGGAUUCUGACACCUCGACGUGCAGCAAAUGUUUUACAGCAGUUGCGUGUAAAGGGGGAAACACGUCAAAUCUGAUGAAACAUUUGAGGGCACACGGAAUUCAUUUUAAAACAGAGGGAUGCACUAUGUUUGACAGCUUGCGGACAACAGCUGGCACUAUCGGUGUGGAUAACCCCAGCCCCAGUCAUACCAACCGUAGCAAAAAGGAGUCCACCGAUUAUGUUGAGGACAGCAGGCUUUCCGCAGCUAGUACUAGUAGUACUACAACAGUGACCCCAUUUACCAUUGCAAAGAAGGCUAAUUUGACUAAGGAGAAGGUGGAGGAACUCCACAGGGCUGUGACCAAAUUUGUGGUCAAGGGACUGCAUUCCUUUUCCACUGUGGAAUCCCCAUGUUUCAGGGAGAUGACUGCUGCCCUUAAUCCUCGCUACCGACCCCCAUCCAGAGAUUAUUUGUCCAGCACUCUUAUUCCUGCAUGGUACUCUGUUGAGAAACAAAAUGUUAUUCAGGAUUUAGCACAAGUGAGUAAGGCUGCUAUCACAUGUGAUGGGUGGACCAGUGUGGCACAGGACCACUAUUUAACAGUUACUGUGCACUACACCAGUGAAGGCCACAUUAAGCAAAAAGUGCUAAACACCAAAGUCACAAACAGGCCUCAUGGUGGCAGACGAGAUAAAUUGCAUUCUAGAGGAAUUCCAGAUAAACACUAAAGUUGUAGCUGCCACAGUAGACAAUGCCAGCAAUAUGGAUGUUGCACUGAAGAAUCUUAAGCUUUUAAAGGUGGGGUGCUUUGCCCACACCCUAAACCUGACCGCACAGAAGGUUUACAGCAUCAGUGCUAUUACAAAGUGGUGUGUCAGACUUCGAUCGAUUGUAGUGUGGCUGAGGAGGUCCUCCAUGGCAAAGAUUGUGCUGCGGGAGAAGCAGCAACUUCUCAAUCUGCCACAGCAUAACAUGAUUCUGGAUGUCAAAAUACGGUGGAACUCCCUUUUCUUGAUGGUGGAGAGAUUUUUAGAGCAGUACCCAGCCAUCCAGGCAGCAUCACUUGACCAACGACUCAGGAAGCUAAUGGAGAAAGACAAACUGGAAAGACUCACAGAUGGUGACUUCCAGAAAGCAGAGGAUUUUGUUAAAAACAUGAAGCUGUUGUACACCUCAACCCUCUGUGUAUCCAGUGAGAAGUCUCCCACAUGUGGCCAAAUUCUUCCCAUACUGACUAAGCUGGAGGAGCAUUUUACAGUGGCUGAACAGGACACUGUGUUUGCCAGUACUGUACUUUGAAAGAGAAAGUCUGGGGAGAUCUGGAGAAACGAUAUCAGGAUGAAGACAUUAAGAACUUCCUCCAGGAGGCCACCUUGAUGGACCCUCGCUUCAAAGGCAAACUUGGAUGUGCUGUUGUUGCUGAUGCUUGGGGCCGGUUGGAGAAAGCAGCAGUUUGCAAUGUAACAGCAGAACAGCUUCCAAUGGAGCACAACAUCGAGGAAGAAUCUGAAGAUACAUUGGAUGAGCAUCAGGAGGACAAGUCACUGAAUGCAGAAGAACAUUCUCCAUAUCACAAGAAGUGGGCCAAGAAGUCAUCCCUAGAAGAGCUGUUUGAGGAUGAGGACCGAGAGUUACUUCAGGCAGCCACAACCUCAAGAAGUGGUGCCAUCACCAAAGCUGAACAGGCCCAUAAUGAGAUUAAAAUCUACCAAGGUCUACCUUCAGUCUCAUCAGGACAAGACCCUGUAGCUUGGUGGUGGGGAAAGCGGGACAGUCUU
This is a non-coding RNA of Paramormyrops kingsleyae, 1816 nucleotides long. NCBI's taxonomy places the organism in Eukaryota, Metazoa, Chordata, Actinopteri, Osteoglossiformes, Mormyridae. The record is from RefSeq and is a predicted model, not a curated record.